GCCCCCACCUCCCGAAAUCGGAGGUCUCAAGGUUGGCAAGUAUGGUCAUGUUUUAGUUCUUGUCUUGCGCUCCUAUUGCAUUGUUGAUUGUCAUGUCAUGUACGGAAUGUACUUUGUGGACGCCGUCUGCUGCUCCUCACGCUGUAAGUCUUUGCUGUCGGCCAGCAUUCCGUUUUUGUUUACUUUGCAGCCAGUUCAGUUUUAGCUUCAUUUUGCAUAGCCAUCCCUAAGCUUCAGUGCCUUUUGUUUAUUUUUGGUUGAAGCAUUAGAUACCUUUUUACCUGCACACUGCCUCCCGCUGUUGUCUGCAUAUUGUGAUCACGACAAACCAUCUCCAAAGCCAUUAGCUACCUGUUGCCACUUACUGAUAUGGAAGAGUAUAACGGGGUUACUCUGCCGAGCCCGAGACUGCACCGACACAUCUUUUGUGGAUUAUAAUUUCUGGUUUGCAAAAAAUAUUUUUAAUGCAAUUAGGUGAAAUUACAUAAUCUCCCACGGCACACCAGACAAAAACACUCAUCUACAUAACAUGUAAUGGUGGUUCUUUGGUCAAAGUGUUGCAUAGAUGAUGUUUUACAGAUCAUCUUCACGCCGCUUUCAGACCGUCUCUUCAGGAUGCGCCAUUUUGUGGGCGGUCUUACCGACGCGGCUCACCUUAGGCAGCGUCUUCUCCUCGUCAUCUUUGUUGUAGCGGUGUAGCGUGCAAGGACGGGAGUGGAAGAAGUGUCAAAUGAUGGAGCUAACUGUUUUAAUGAGAUUCAGACUUGACUUCGAUCGAUAACUGAGCUGGAUGUCCUCAUCAAUGUGUUCUGUGAACAAAAAACGUUAGACCGGAAGUCUAGUAACUAAAGUUACUUGGGUGAAUAAUGUAACCUCACUAUACCGGUAUGUUUUAGCGCUUUUAUGGUGAGUUUACUGACAGAUAUAAGUAAGAACUUUACACUGCUUUAUAUUAGAAAUAGCAACAGCGGAGGAUGAAGGUCCCAUAACAAGAAGAUGGAGAAAAAGAAGAAGCUUAUCGACUACGUUGGUGGCACGGACUACAAAGGCGGAAUCUCGCAAAUUUUCAGGACUUAUGCAGAUCCCAAAUACGGAUCAGCAGGUGCCAGAAGGGACUCAAACGGCACCAAAAUAACAAGCUGGUGUUGGAGAAGAGGAUUUCCAUGAGGGUGUGUGUGUUGUCACCAAAACACACAGGUGUUCAACGGGCAGAGUGCUGUGCUUGUUUAGAGGAAACAAGAUGUGUAUACACACACACACACACACACACACAGGUUAUCAUUUGGAAUGGAGACCAAGUUGUUCGUGACUUGUGGGGACCACCCUUUCUACAGGUUGUGGAGGCAUGAAAACAAUGAGGUAAAAUGGCCACUGCCCAGUUACCUCAUACACGUCUUUAAAUCACCUCCCUCAGGAAAAUUAAACAAAGUGUUUGUGUGUGUGUGUGUGUGUGUGUGUGUGUGUGUGUGUGUGUGUGUAUAUAUAUAUGUAUGUAUGUAUAUUUAUCAAGUUUAUCUUGUUAUAUUCUUAUUUUACUGUUAGAUUUUUAUUCCCAUUGGUGGUUAUUAUUUAUUCUUAUUGUAAUAUUUUUCUAUUUUGUUUCCAUUUAUACCCCCAUUAUUUACUCUUUAAAUUGAUCUGAACUCUGUACAGUGCUGCUGGAAUUUUAAUUUUCCUGAAGGAAUCAAUAAAGUUCUAUCCAUCUAUCUA
This is a long non-coding RNA of Nerophis ophidion (straightnose pipefish), 1710 nucleotides long. RefSeq lists it as uncharacterized. Lineage: Eukaryota; Metazoa; Chordata; Actinopteri; Syngnathiformes; Syngnathidae. The record is from RefSeq and is a predicted model, not a curated record. The transcript has 2 exons.